AACGAACGCUGGCGGCAUGCCUAACACAUGCAAGUCGAACGAGAUCUUCGGGUCUAGUGGCGCACGGGUGCGUAACGCGUGGGAAUCUGCCCUUUGGUUCGGAAUAACAGUUGGAAACGACUGCUAAUACCGGAUGAUGACGAAAGUCCAAAGAUUUAUCGCCAGAGGAUGAGCCCGCGUAGGAUUAGCUAGUUGGUGUGGUAAAGGCGCACCAAGGCGACGAUCCUUAGCUGGUCUGAGAGGAUGAUCAGCCACACUGGGACUGAGACACGGCCCAGACUCCUACGGGAGGCAGCAGUGGGGAAUAUUGGACAAUGGGCGAAAGCCUGAUCCAGCAAUGCCGCGUGAGUGAUGAAGGCCUUAGGGUUGUAAAGCUCUUUUACCCGGGAUGAUAAUGACAGUACCGGGAGAAUAAGCUCCGGCUAACUCCGUGCCAGCCGCCGCGGUAA
Molecule: ribosomal RNA, 449 nt
Filed under: uncultured bacterium
Lineage: Bacteria
Description: partial 16S ribosomal RNA
Rfam family: Bacterial small subunit ribosomal RNA
Source: RNAcentral